CAAAUCGCCAAGAGAGGGCAAGGGUAGCUUUAGUCUUUAUCAUUUAUCACAUACUAGGACAUCGCUUAUCCCACUACCUAGAUGGGAAUAACCCGGCAGCACCGUUAGAAAAAUUAUCACCUACUCCAUUGUUAAGAUUAGCUCCUUUCAAUUCGUGAACCCUAAACUGUCUUGAUGAAACCCUAACUUCUUUUCAAGUUUCAAUGAAGUAUCCGGAGAUGGAUGAAACUUUGCUUUCUAUUCUUCUAGAUAUGUUUCUUGCUGGGAGAAGCUGAGCUUCUUGAUUCAGUAGGAACUCACAAGAGAUUAUCCAUGAUUAACGGACCAAACAACAUUCCGGUUCUUUGUGCACUCACCUUCUGCAGCUCUAAAUGCUACUUUACCUGAUUAGCUGUUGUGAGUCCUCCACGAAGAUUCUUUGGUGCUAUUUCAGCUAUGAACACAGGUAGGUGGAGAAGGGAGUAGCUAGAAGUACCAGCUAGCAAAAUUGGUAGUGUUCGUUGUUGAUGGCAACUUAAACCUGGUUCCAGUUCCCCCGUUCAGAAAAAAAAAAAAAAA
Molecule: long non-coding RNA, 558 nt
Organism: Papaver somniferum (opium poppy)
Lineage: Eukaryota; Viridiplantae; Streptophyta; Magnoliopsida; Ranunculales; Papaveraceae
Exons: 3
Source: RefSeq, a predicted model, not a curated record